CUCGUAGGCGGUUUGUCGCGUCUGUCGUGAAAGUCCGGGGCUUAACCCCGGAUCUGCGGUGGGUACGGGCAGACUAGAGUGCAGUAGGGUAACUGGAAUUCCUGGUGUAGCGGUGAAAUGCGCAGAUAUCAGGAGGAACACCGAUGGCGAAGGCAGGUUACUGGGCAGUUACUGACGCUGAGGAGCGAAAGCAUGGGUAGCGAACA
RNAcentral lists this ribosomal RNA (206 nucleotides) under uncultured bacterium. RNAcentral describes it as "partial 16S ribosomal RNA". It matches the Rfam family "Bacterial small subunit ribosomal RNA", at positions 568 to 774 of the family's 1533-position model. The record is from RNAcentral.